AUACGUAGGGGGCGAGCGUUGUCCGGAAUGAUUGGGCGUAAAGGGCGCGUAGGCGGCCCGGUAAGUCUGGAGUGAAAGUCCUGCUUUUAAGGUGGGAAUUGCUUUGGAUACUGUCGGGCUUGAGGGCAGGAGAGGUAAGUGGAAUUCCAAGUGUAGCGGGGAAAUGCGUAGAGAUUGGGAGGAACACCAGUGGCGAAGGCGACUUACUGGACUGUAACUGACGCUGAGGCGCGAAAGUGUGGGGAGCAAACAGGAUUAGAUACCCUGGUAGUCCACACUGUAAACGAUGAAUGCUAGGUGUAGGGGGUAUCGACCCCUUCUGUGCCGCAGUUAACACAAUAAGCAUUCCGCCUGGGGAGUACGGCCGCAAGGUUGAAACUCAAAUGAAUUGACGGGG
RNAcentral lists this ribosomal RNA (397 nucleotides) under uncultured bacterium. RNAcentral describes it as "partial 16S ribosomal RNA". It matches the Rfam family "Bacterial small subunit ribosomal RNA", at positions 523 to 918 of the family's 1533-position model. The record is from RNAcentral.